CGCAGAUGGGUAGUUUAGGUAAGUAUCGUUAACGGCGAGACGAACUUAUAGUAAAUAAGCGUUAAAGUUGUUUUAUAAUUUCGGGCUCAGACACCAUAUACACAUCAAUAACGGUUUAUUUAUUGAUAAUUGUUAUUAUAAUUGUUUGGGUUCAUUCGGUCCCUACAGGACCAUUCCGUUUCACAAUCAAUCCUCCCGUUAUCUCUGACAAGAAUCUUCCAAUUUAACGGGCCUUCUAAAGAUACUCACCUCGGCUUUCCCAAAUGUCUUU
Non-coding RNA from Cinara cedri, 271 nucleotides. The record is from the annotation of a GenBank genome assembly. NCBI's taxonomy places the organism in Eukaryota, Metazoa, Arthropoda, Insecta, Hemiptera, Aphididae.